Molecule: transfer RNA, 75 nt
Filed under: Marmota monax (woodchuck)
Lineage: Eukaryota; Metazoa; Chordata; Mammalia; Rodentia; Sciuridae
Description: tRNA.Ala
Source: RNAcentral
UGUGGGUAUAGCUCAGUUGGUUGAGUGCUUGCCUAGCAUGCACUGAGACCCUGGGUUCAAUCCCCAGCACCAUAA